GCGGGGGUUGCCAAGCCUGGUCAACGGCGCAGGGCUUAGGACCCUGUCCCGUAGGGGUUCGUGGGUUCAAAUCCCACCCCCCGCA
Molecule: transfer RNA, 85 nt
Filed under: Candidatus Terraquivivens tikiterensis
Lineage: Archaea; Thermoproteati; Nitrososphaerota; Candidatus Wolframiiraptoraceae
Also listed under: 4 other names
Description: Aigarchaeota archaeon NZ13_MG1 tRNA-Leu
Rfam family: tRNA
About the family: Transfer RNA (tRNA) molecules are approximately 80 nucleotides in length.
Source: RNAcentral